CCUACGGGAGGCAGCAGUGGGGAAUAUUGGGCAAUGGGGGGAACCCUGACCCAGCAACGCCGCGUGAAGGACGAAGGCCUUCGGGUUGUAAACUUCUUUGAACAGGGACGAAACAAAUGACGGUACCUGAAGAACAAGCCACGGCUAACUACGUGCCAGCAGCCGCGGUAAUACGUAGGUGGCGAGCGUUAUCCGGAUUUACUGGGUGUAAAGGGCGUGUAGGCGGACCGGCAAGUCGGGUGUGAAAUCCCCGGGCUUAACUCGGGUAUGUCAUCCGAAACUGCAGGUCUUGAGUACUGGAGAGGAUAGUGGAAUUCCUAGUGUAGCGGUAAAAUGCGUAGAUAUUAGGAGGAACACCAGUGGCGAAGGCGGCUAUCUGGCCAGUAACUGACGCUGAGGCGCGAAAGCGUGGGGAGCAAACAGGAUUAGAUACCCCAGUAGUC
RNAcentral lists this ribosomal RNA (443 nucleotides) under uncultured Saccharofermentans sp. Its description in RNAcentral is "bacterial SSU rRNA". It matches the Rfam family "Bacterial small subunit ribosomal RNA", at positions 338 to 795 of the family's 1533-position model. Lineage: Bacteria; Bacillati; Bacillota; Clostridia; Eubacteriales; Oscillospiraceae. The record is from RNAcentral.